Molecule: long non-coding RNA, 1454 nt
Organism: Homo sapiens (human)
Lineage: Eukaryota; Metazoa; Chordata; Mammalia; Primates; Hominidae
Gene: LYRM4-AS1
Product: LYRM4 antisense RNA 1
Source: Ensembl
AGAUAUAGAGUGUGAGAGAGAAGAGUGGAGGCUGGUUCUCAGGCUCCAGAAGCAUAAGCCUGCAUGGAGCAUAGCGUCACUGAGCAAGACAGGUGUGGAGGAUGAGAAGCGGGCCACAGGAUGGGAAGGGAAUCUGUGUGGAGGCGGUGCCCUAAACAUGCUGCCUUGAGGAGGGACCUCUACAUGGGGUGGCCGGGCACAGCCAGAUGUCCCUGGAGACAGCGCCAUCUGGUGGAACUUCCUGUAACGAUCGAGAUGUUCCGUCUGUGCCGUCCAACAUGGGAGCCAUGCAGGACACAUGGUGACUGAGCACUGGGACUGUGUGCCGCGUGACCAAGAGCAGCUCAGCUCUAAAGUCUCCUCCAGCUUUAUGAUGUCACUUCCUGUAUCUUCUCUACACAUUCUUUCCUUCAGCCUGUUGUUUCUUCAACUUCGAGAAUAAUUUGAAUGUUUUCAGCAUAAAGAAAAGAUAAAUGUUUAAGGCUACCCAUGGGGACCUCAACAGCUUUGCCAUUGCACACUAUCUUUGCAGACAAGAUCUUAAUCACAUCCAACUUUCUGCAGUUGCACAGGGUACCUCAGACCCACAUCCCAGAUGACAUUCCUCAGAAGCUCGCAGCUGGAGAUGACAUCACCUUAGACAACAUCACCCUAGCCCAAGACAUCGCUAUUAGAGAUACAUCACCUGGACACUAAAGCCUCCAACCCAGUGACACUCUCAAGGUGCUGACAAAAUGGACAUGGACAUUUGUUGCUUUUCUUCUUUUGAAUUAGGAACUCUAUUGUGUUUCCUGAAUUUACUGUCUGCUUGGCCCAUGAUCCUGGUAUGUUCCUUGCUCUCUGCCAAAACAUGCACCGUCCCCUCCACACCUAAAGGAAAACCUGGUAGAAGCUACUACUCUCAAUGCCAUUCUAAAAUUGACGAAGAGUAUUAUUUUCCCCAAGAGGCAGCUGCUGCAGGCCAGUGAAUCCUCUGGACCCUGGGGAGAGGGUCAUACACUCCCUAGUGACUUCUACUGUAUGCUCCAGCUUUCCACCAGGACCUCCUGCCCUGUCCCCAACUGUAACGACCACAACCACCCCAUCCCCUUGGUUACACACAAAUAUCACCAGUCUUUACAUGUACUUUACUGACUUCUCAGAUAAUACCCUCCAACAAGAUAACUGCAGGACUUGCCACCAUGACCUGAGAAAUACACCAAGAUAUUAUUGUCCAAUUUUUUUGAGAUAUAUAUAUAUUUCUCAUACUUUUAACAUACUCUGCAAUCCACCAAGAUAUUGGUAGAGACCCUGGAAAUUUCAAAUCUAUUUCGUCUGCUAAUGCCAUGUGAAUGGGAAACUUAGAUACAGGCUGGCCUACAAGGACUCCUUAUACUUCAAUUUUUGUUCCUCCUUUCAACUCUCAUAAAAAAUAUUUUCUGUACUAUUUAGGGCAAAUGAUGGCCUUCUUUCUA